AUCUGAAGCCUGAAUUUUGCAACUGUCCAAUAAUUAUGUGUUUUAUUUUUCAGAUGGGCUGAGCAACCUCGGCUGUGGAGUUGUGGAUGCCCAGAACUUCAGAUUCAAAACCAGGGCCAGUGAUACGUCACUCGGGAUGCUAAUCUGGAUGCAGAGAAAGACUAACAUACUGGGCCAGAAGUAAUGAUCCAGAUUGAUGCAUGUAUAAGAAGAUACUAUAAGAAGAUAAGUAAUAUACAC
Molecule: long non-coding RNA, 240 nt
Organism: Rhea pennata
Lineage: Eukaryota; Metazoa; Chordata; Aves; Rheiformes; Rheidae
Exons: 3
Source: RefSeq, a predicted model, not a curated record